AGGCAGCUCAGAAAAGUGCCAAGUGCCUGAGAGUCCCAAAUGUAAGUGCAGAGGGAUUAAAAGGCCCUGCUGCAUUUAACUUGCUCCAUCUUCGUUUCCAUCUCGCCUUCCAUCCCUGUUUUUUUUUUUUUUUGUCGUUCCCUGGAGGAGGUGGGAAGAUCCUGGCUUGUCAGCUUGUCUUUCAGGAAAUGGACAGGAUUUUUUUUUGAAGGUGCUGGGUGCUUACAAAAAGGGCAAAGGAUAGAGCCGCUGCUCCCCAGACGACUCAAAAUGACUUUCAUGUGGAACACAGGAGGAGUGAGAAGGGCCUCCCAUUUAUUUACCAUCUACUAAGACGUUGUGUCCCUGUCACGUACCAGGAGUGCCUCUACUCUGGACAUCCAGGGACUUCGGAGAGCUGGAAGCAUAAGGACUGUGCAAUGACAGAAUCUGUGUUUUCUACCACACCCUGCCUGUGAAUAGUCCUAAUAUUUAAAAAGUGAGUA
This 485-nucleotide long non-coding RNA is filed under the name Homo sapiens (human). Its description in RNAcentral is "HSALNT0331037". The record is from RNAcentral. Lineage: Eukaryota; Metazoa; Chordata; Mammalia; Primates; Hominidae.